RNAcentral lists this ribosomal RNA (425 nucleotides) under uncultured bacterium. RNAcentral describes it as "bacterial SSU rRNA". It matches the Rfam family "Bacterial small subunit ribosomal RNA", at positions 355 to 796 of the family's 1533-position model. The record is from RNAcentral.
UGGGGAAUCUUGCGCAAUGGGCGAAAGCCUGACGCAGCAACGCCGCGUGGGGGAUGAAGGCUCUCGGGUUGUAAACCCCUUUCAGCAGGGACGAAUCAAGACGGUACCUGCAGAAGAAGCCCCGGCUAACUACGUGCCAGCAGCCGCGGUAACACGUAGGGGGCAAGCGUUGUCCGGAUUUAUUGGGCGUAAAGAGCUCGUAGGUGGCUGAGUAAGUCGGAUGUUAAAUCCCCAGGCUCAACCUGGGACACCACCCGAUACUGCUCUGGCUAGAGUCCGGUAGGGGAGCAUGGAAUUCCUGGUGUAGCGGUGAAAUGCGCAGAUAUCAGGAGGAACACCAGCGGCGAAGGCGGUGCUCUGGGCCGGAACUGACACUGAGGAGCGAAAGCGUGGGUAGCAAACAGGAUUAGAUACCCCCGUAGUCC